This 253-nucleotide ribosomal RNA is filed under the name uncultured bacterium. RNAcentral describes it as "partial 16S ribosomal RNA". It matches the Rfam family "Bacterial small subunit ribosomal RNA", at positions 524 to 776 of the family's 1533-position model. The record is from RNAcentral.
UACGGAGGGUGCAAGCGUUAUCCGGAAUUACUGGGUUUAAAGGGUGCGUAGGCGGGUCAUUAAGUCAGUGGUGAAAGACUAUCGCUUAACGAUAGAAUUGCCGUUGAUACUGAUGAUCUUGAAUUGGGUUGAGGUUAGCGGAAUGUGACAUGUAGCGGUGAAAUGCAUAGAUAUGUCAUGGAACACCAAUUGCGAAGGCAGCUAACUGGGCCUUGAUUGACGCUGAGGCACGAAAGCGUGGGUAGCGAACAGG